Lynx canadensis (Canada lynx) is the source of this 1255-nucleotide long non-coding RNA. RefSeq lists it as uncharacterized. The record is from RefSeq and is a predicted model, not a curated record. The transcript is spliced from 5 exons. Lineage: Eukaryota; Metazoa; Chordata; Mammalia; Carnivora; Felidae.
UCAUCCCACCUGAUCAUUCAUGGUCCAGCUCUUUCCAUGCAUAGGCCACUGCUUGCACUACCAAGCAAGUGUGGCGAAAUACUCGAGCCAUCCAUCCUUAUUGGAGAAGAACCAGUGCUGUGGACAUCACCACCAAUACAAUUGACAUCUCAGCUUCAAAAAACUCAGUGAGUGUUUUCUGGGAAGUUCCACCAAAAUACAGUUGGCACUGACCAUCACCGUGGCCUCCAGUCUUAGACCAGGCACCCAGAACCUGUUGUGCCUCACUGCUCACUGCUCGUCAAGUCCACAACGAUGUGGAUAUUUUGUCUGUUGGAAGAAACAACAGAGGAAAUCUGCUGCCUUUGAUCUCAAUGGAAGGAACUUUAUCAGAUGAUCCCAAUGAUGACAAAACAACUGAAAGGUCAGGAAGAUCUCGCAUACAGUUGACUAUGGAGGUGACUAACAAUCUCUGAGCAGCGCAGAUUUGGAUCACUAGCUUUCUCUGAAUUGGCCAACUUCUUGCAAAUAACCCUGUUUAAGAUGUCUGGACUUCAAGAUUCUAAAACAAUUGACCUUUGCUAUAACCUCUCAACAGAUGGUUCAGCUUAUUUUACAGGAACAACACCAACAAAAGUCCUAGACGGAUCCUGCUUUGUCUCACUCAGGAGGUUUAUGCUGGUCUUUUACUUGUUUAGGUUAGUUUGUUAUAUUCAUUCUUAUUGAACAAAAGGAGGGUUUGACAGUGUCAGCUCUGUAUUUAUCUGAGCUCUGUAUUCCUGGAAAACAUUGAUGGUUAAUAAAUCCCCCAUCUUUUGUGUUCAGUUUCUUACUGAAAAGAGCCACCACCCUUCUGCAUACCAUUUAUGGAAGACUCCUCAUCCAUUUUUUCUCGUGACUCCAAUAAGAGUUGUGUGUCAAGGUGUCUAUGGAAAACUGAUUUUUGGCAAAGAUGCCAGCACCAUUCAAAGGCAAAAGCAUAGUGCUUUCAACAAAUGAUUCUGGGACAACUGGAUACAGUCACACACAGGAGAAUGAAGUUGGAUCUUUACCUCACCACUAUAUAAAAAAUAACUCAAAGUGAAUCAAAAAUCCAAGUCUAUGAGCUAAAACUGUGAGAUUCUUAGAAGAAAACAUAGAGGUAAAUGUUCAUGACAUCAGAUGUGGCAGUGGAAUUUGAGAUAUGACUCCAAACACAAGCAACAAGACAAAAAAACAGAUAAAUUGAGCUUCAUUAAAAUUGAAAAAUUUGUGGGAUGCCUGAUGGCUCAGUUGG